UAUAGAAACUCACACNGUUUUGCUUNGCUCGNGAGACCAGGAAUGCGUAAGNAUGGAAUGCAGAAUCAGGAUCUCGAUCUUGNACGCAACUGCGCUUNUGUAUUCNGAGAGCAUGCCUGUUUGAGUUCAUGAAUUUCANCCAUAGGNUUCUUAAUGGCUGGAUUGGAGGCUGCCAUUCUAAAUGGCUCCUCUUAAAAGAGUUAGCGAGUUUAACUAUUGCUAUCUGGCGUAAUAAGUUUCGCUGGAAUGGUAUUGUGAAGCGCGCUUCUAAUCGUCUUCGGACAAUUUUUUGACUCUGGCCUCAAAUCAGGUAGGACUACCCGCUGAACUUAAGCAUAUCAAUAAGCGGAGGAAAAGAAACUAACAAGGAUUCCCUUAGUAACGGCGAGUGAACCGGGAAGAGCUCAAAUUUGAAAUCUGGCUGUCUUCGAUAGUCCGAGUUGUAAUCUAUAGAAGCGUUUUCCGUGCUGAACUGUGUCUAAGUCCCUUGGAACAGGGUAUCAAAGAGGGUGACAAUCCCGUACUUGACACAAUCAUCAGUGCUCUGUGAUACGCUCUCUACGAGUCGAGUUGUUUGGGAAUGCAGCUCAAAAUGGGUGGUAAAUUCCAUCUAAAGCUAAAUAUUGGCGAGAGACCGAUAGCGAACAAGUACCGUGAGGGAAAGAUGAAAAGCACUUUGGAAAGAGAGUUAAACAGUACGUGAAAUUGUUGAAAGGGAAACGAUUGAAGUCAGUCGUGUUCAUUGGAUUCAGCCGGUCUUCGGUGUACUUCCUUUGAACGGGUCAACAUCAGUUUUGCCCGGUGGAUAAAGGCAGUAGGAAUGUGGCCUCUUCGGAGGUGUUAUAGCCUAUUGUCACAUACACUGGGGGAGACUGAGGACUGCAGCUCGCCUUUUGGCCGGGGUUCGCCCACGUUCGAGCUUAGGAUGUGACAUAAUGCUAAACUUUNUNU
Molecule: ribosomal RNA, 951 nt
Filed under: Trichosporon sp. MSR 17
Lineage: Eukaryota; Fungi; Basidiomycota; Tremellomycetes; Trichosporonales; Trichosporonaceae
Description: eukaryotic LSU rRNA
Rfam family: Eukaryotic large subunit ribosomal RNA (bases 297-951)
Source: RNAcentral